RNAcentral lists this ribosomal RNA (253 nucleotides) under uncultured Hyphomicrobiales bacterium. RNAcentral's name for it is "uncultured Rhizobiales bacterium partial 16S ribosomal RNA". It matches the Rfam family "Bacterial small subunit ribosomal RNA", at positions 524 to 776 of the family's 1533-position model. The record is from RNAcentral. Lineage: Bacteria; Pseudomonadati; Pseudomonadota; Alphaproteobacteria; Hyphomicrobiales.
UACGAAGGGGGCUAGCGUUGUUCGGAAUUACUGGGCGUAAAGCGCACGUAGGCGGGUCGUUAAGUCAGGGGUGAAAUCCCAGAGCUCAACUCUGGAACUGCCUUUGAUACUGGCGGCCUAGAGUUCGGAAGAGGUUAGUGGAAUUCCCAGUGUAGAGGUGAAAUUCGUAGAUAUUGGGAAGAACACCAGUGGCGAAGGCGGCUAACUGGUCCGAUACUGACGCUGAGGUGCGAAAGCGUGGGGAGCAAACAGG